This 209-nucleotide ribosomal RNA is filed under the name uncultured bacterium. RNAcentral describes it as "partial 16S ribosomal RNA". It matches the Rfam family "Bacterial small subunit ribosomal RNA", at positions 1293 to 1500 of the family's 1533-position model. The record is from RNAcentral.
UCGGAUUGUAGUCUGCAACUCGACUACAUGAAGCCGGAAUCGCUAGUAAUCGCGGAUCAGAAUGCCGCGGUGAAUACGUUCCCGGGUCUUGUACACACCGCCCGUCACACCAUGGGAGCCGGAAAUGCCCGAAGUCAGUGACCCAACCAAUAAGGAGGGAGCUGCCGAAGGCAGGUCUGGUGACUGGGGUGAAGUCGUAACAAGGUAAC